GUCGCAGCUUGGGGCCUCCGCUGUUUUUCUUUCUGUUUCAUCCACGCUGCUCUUUGAAUCCCAACUUGCACAGUGACAUCCCAGGACUCCCUGGAGUAUCAGAGCUCAGGACGCCCCAAAGCAACCUCCCUGUGUUACUUCCUGCCAUGCAAACCACCCCCAAUCUGCAGGCUCUGGGCCCUUUCCCCUGGGACCAGUGCAGAGGAGGGUGAGGGCUUCCAGCUGGAGACCGUGGACGACUCAGCCUACAGAGUCAUGGAUUUGAGGGAAGGCUCAACAUUGGAGCUGUAGCUAUGUGAUAAUUGGCUGUAACCUCUGGAGGUAACGGGGCUCCCUGCUCACUUCGUCUGAAAUCUCUUCAUCUUGGUUG
RNAcentral lists this long non-coding RNA (370 nucleotides) under Bos indicus x Bos taurus (hybrid cattle). Its description in RNAcentral is "lncRNA (ENSBIXG00005000939.1)". The record is from RNAcentral. Lineage: Eukaryota; Metazoa; Chordata; Mammalia; Artiodactyla; Bovidae.